GCCUCCUUUCUUCCUCCUCGCGCUGACCGCAGCUGAGAUCCAGAACCCAUCGUGCAUGGUGAGCACCGGAUUCCGGCCAUGCCUGGCGCUUGCCAUUGGCCCCUCCUUGCUGCAACCUUGAUUUCUCCAACGAUGGGCGGUGCCAGAGCUCUAGUUCUCCUCACCCAGAUGGCGUAGUCAAGAUCCAUCUCGUCCAAACGAGCGUGUCUGGAUCUACAUCAUAGCUCCGGACGAUUCCAGAUCCUUGGUGAUUCACACAGCACAGCUAAAGCGGAAGGGAGACGGCAACCAGUAAUUCCAUACGUGGCGGGAGGCAAUAGAAAUCUACCUCUGUAAAAUUCAUUUGAAAUGACUGGCAUGAUCUUUCUACACAUCGAAGCAUAAUCACGGCAGAUCGAAGCACAAUUCUGCAGGUGGAAAGCAAGUAAUAUACUUUUUUUUGCAAGAUCUGAAAGCAAAUCCCAAUUGCUUUCGAGACCUGUUCAACAAUGAUUCUUUUGUGUUUAGAAUUAAUCUCCAAUUUUAAUCCACCAUAGUUCUGAACUUUUGUUUCACGUGGAUAGAUGGAAAUCGCAAGACAUUAGUAAUUUUAAAUUUGCUUAAAAGAAAUUUACAUUAAUAGUGUGUCAGUUACUGAUAUUUUUGGUGGCCAAGGUAUCUGUAUAGCAGUCUGAUCUUUUGUUUCUAAUAACGUGCAGAUAACCUUGCAUAUCUUCCGUUGGAGAAGCUGCAAGCUAGAAGGAUGCAGAGACAUAGGCAUUCAUCGAUGUUUAUUCGCUUUCUUUUGUUCCUGGAACGAGUGUAGUCAAAUUUUGUUCAUCUGUGUAUAUGGAGAUAUCUAGGAGUAAUUAUUUAUCUAUUGUAUAAAUAUUACUUGUCAAUACAUUUAAAAUUACUCCCUUAGGAAAUAAAAAAGGAGUAAUUACUCCUCAUU
This is a long non-coding RNA of Panicum hallii, 934 nucleotides long. RefSeq lists it as uncharacterized. Lineage: Eukaryota; Viridiplantae; Streptophyta; Magnoliopsida; Poales; Poaceae. The transcript is spliced from 3 exons. The record is from RefSeq and is a predicted model, not a curated record.